RNAcentral lists this ribosomal RNA (505 nucleotides) under uncultured bacterium. RNAcentral's name for it is "partial 16S ribosomal RNA". It matches the Rfam family "Bacterial small subunit ribosomal RNA", at positions 29 to 523 of the family's 1533-position model. The record is from RNAcentral.
AGUGAACGCUGGCGGUAGGCCUAACACGUGCAAGUCGAACGGCAGCACAGGAGAGCUUGCUCUCUGGGUGGCGAGUGGCGGACGGGUGAGGAAUACAUCGGAAUCUACUCUGUCGUGGGGGAUAACGUAGGGAAACUUACGCUAAUACCGCAUACGACCUACGGGUGAAAGCAGGGGAUCUUCGGACUUUGCGCGAUUGAAUGAGCCGAUGUCGGAUUAGCUAUUUGGCGGGGUAAAGGCCCACCAAGGCGACGAUCCGUAGCUGGUCUGAGAGGAUGGUCAGCCACACUGGAACAGAGACACGGUGCAGACUCCUACGGGAGGCAGCAGUGGGGAAUAUUGGACAAUGGGCGCGAGCCUGAUCCAGCCAUACCGCGUGGGUGAAGAAGGCCUUCGGGUUGUAAAGCCCUUUUGUUGGAAAGAAAUCCAGCUGGCUAAUACCCGGUUGGGAUGACGGUACCCAAAGAAUAAGCACCGGCUAACUUCGUGCCAGCAGCCGCAGUAA